UACGGAGGAUGCGAGCGUUAUCCGGAUUUAUUGGGUUUAAAGGGUGCGUAGGCGGCUUUUUAAGUCAGCGGUGAAAUUUUGCAGCUUAACUGUAACAGUGCCGUUGAUACUGGGGAGCUAGGAUUUGGUUGCUGUGGGUGGAAUGUGUGGUGUAGCGGUGAAAUGCUUAGAGAUCACACAGAAUAUUGAUUGCGAAGGCAGCUCACAAAGCCAAGAUUGACGCUGAGGCACGAAAGUGUGGGGAUCAAACAGGAUUAGA
This 259-nucleotide ribosomal RNA is filed under the name uncultured prokaryote. RNAcentral describes it as "partial 16S ribosomal RNA". It matches the Rfam family "Bacterial small subunit ribosomal RNA", at positions 524 to 782 of the family's 1533-position model. The record is from RNAcentral.